Molecule: unclassified non-coding RNA, 354 nt
Filed under: soil metagenome
Description: partial contains 5.8S ribosomal RNA, internal transcribed spacer 2, and large subunit ribosomal RNA
Rfam family: 5.8S ribosomal RNA (bases 1-120)
Source: RNAcentral
GAUGAAGAACGUAGCGAAAUGCGAUAAGUAAUGUGAAUUGCAGAAUUCCGUGAAUCAUCGAAUCUUUGAACGCACAUUGCGCCCCCUGGCAUUCCGGGGGGCAUGCCUGUCCGAGCGUCAUUUCUGCCCUCCAGCCCGGCUGGGUGUUGGGCGCUGUCCCCCCGGGGACACGCCCCAAAGGCAGUGGCGGCGCCGCGUCGGGUCCUCGAGCGUAUGGGGCCUUGUCACCCGCUCGGGACGGACUCGUCGGCGCUGGUCUUCCUCCAGGCGACCCUUCGGGGCUCGUCUUCCUUCGGUUGACCUCGGAUCAGGUAGGGUUACCCGCUGAACUUAAGCAUAUCAAUAAGCGGAGGA